This 513-nucleotide ribosomal RNA is filed under the name uncultured bacterium. RNAcentral describes it as "partial 16S ribosomal RNA". It matches the Rfam family "Bacterial small subunit ribosomal RNA", at positions 28 to 523 of the family's 1533-position model. The record is from RNAcentral.
GACGAACGCUGGCGGCGUGCCUAAUACAUGCAAGUUGAGCGCUGAAGGUUGGUACUUGUACCGACUGGAUGAGCAGCGAACGGGUGUGUAACGCGUGGGGAAUCUGCCUUUGAGCGGGGGACAACAUUUGGAAACGAAUGCUAAUACCGCAUAAAAACUUUAAACACAAGUUUUAAGUUUGAAAGAUGCAAUUGCAUCACUCAAAGAUGAUCCCGCGUUGUAUUAGCUAGUUGGUGAGGUAAAGGCUCACCAAGGCGAUGAUACAUAGCCGACCUGAGAGGGUGAUCGGCCACAUUGGGACUGAGACACGGCCCAAACUCCUACGGGAGGCAGCAGUAGGGAAUCUUCGGCAAUGAACGAAAGUCUGACCGAGCAACGCCGCGUGAGUGAAGAAGGUUUUCGGAUCGUAAAACUCUGUUGGUAGAGAAGAACGUUGGUGAGAGUGGAAAGCCCAUCAAGUGACGGUAACUACCCAGAAAGGGACGGCUAACUACGUGCCAGCCGCCGCCGUAA